GCUGAUUAGUGUUAAUCAUAUGUAUAGGGAGGCGAAUACUGUAGCUCAUAAUCUCGCGCAAUUUGCGCGCUCUUGUCAGCAACCUGUCUGUUGGAUUGCUGACUUUCCCCGAUGGCUCCGUGAUUUGCUAUCGGUGGACUAUCCUUAAUAUAUGAGUUCGUCUUGAGUUUCAAAAAAAAAAAAAAAACCGCAGAUUCAGCUAUUGAGGAGCAUAGCAUAUAUAAUCGUGGUAACAGAUGUUAUCGUGGCUGCUCUUGUAAUACUGGUUUACUAAUUUUCAACACCACCACAAAUUCUAAAAAUAAAUAAAUAAAUAAAUCAGCGC
This 325-nucleotide long non-coding RNA is filed under the name Salvia miltiorrhiza (redroot sage). Its description in RNAcentral is "long non-coding RNA (SMIL_LNC004311)". The record is from RNAcentral. Lineage: Eukaryota; Viridiplantae; Streptophyta; Magnoliopsida; Lamiales; Lamiaceae.